GUCCUGUAUUUUUUGUUGUUGAAAAUUUCUAUCCUGCCUUUAAAUUUUUCACUCUAUUCUGUCCAGCCUAUUUUUUUCAGUUUAUCCCGACUUUUUUUUUUACAUAAAUUGUCAUCCUGAGUUUUUAUUUUAAUCAAAACUCCUGUCCUAUCUUUUUUCCAAAUUUCAUCCUUGAGCCCAGUCUGCACCGUUAGCCACUAGUACGAUGCCCCAGACUAGUAAAUAUUGAUUCGGACUAGUGAUAAUUUUAUAAAGUCU
This 258-nucleotide long non-coding RNA is filed under the name Mytilus galloprovincialis (Mediterranean mussel). The record is from RNAcentral. Lineage: Eukaryota; Metazoa; Mollusca; Bivalvia; Mytilida; Mytilidae.